UAAUUUAAUGGUUAGGGAUCAACACAAGA
Molecule: non-coding RNA, 29 nt
Filed under: Rattus norvegicus (Norway rat)
Lineage: Eukaryota; Metazoa; Chordata; Mammalia; Rodentia; Muridae
Source: RNAcentral